GGUAUAGCUCAGUUGGUUAGAGUGCCAGAUUGUGACUCUGGAGGUCGUGGGUUCAACUCCCACUAC
This 66-nucleotide transfer RNA is filed under the name Candidatus Heteroclostridium caecigallinarum. It matches the Rfam family "tRNA", at positions 5 to 66 of the family's 71-position model. Rfam says of the family: Transfer RNA (tRNA) molecules are approximately 80 nucleotides in length. Their secondary structure includes four short double-helical elements and three loops (D, anti-codon, and T loops). Further hydrogen bonds mediate the characteristic L-shaped molecular structure. tRNAs have two regions of fundamental functional importance: the anti-codon, which is responsible for specific mRNA codon recognition, and the 3' end, to which the tRNAs corresponding amino acid is attached (by aminoacyl-tRNA synthetases). tRNAs cope with the degeneracy of the genetic code in two manners: having more than one tRNA (with a specific anti-codon) for a particular amino acid; and 'wobble' base-pairing, i.e. permitting non-standard base-pairing at the 3rd anti-codon position. The record is from RNAcentral. RNAcentral also lists the same sequence under 1 other name. Lineage: Bacteria; Bacillati; Bacillota; Clostridia.